Molecule: ribosomal RNA, 119 nt
Filed under: Alligator mississippiensis (American alligator)
Lineage: Eukaryota; Metazoa; Chordata; Crocodylia; Alligatoridae
Source: RNAcentral
GCCUGCGGCCACACCGGACUGACUGCACCCAAUCCCGUCCGAUCUCGGAAGCUAAGCAGUCCCUGGCCCUGCUAGUACCUGGAUAGGAGACCGCCUGGGAAUCCUGGGUGCCGUAGGCC